RNAcentral lists this ribosomal RNA (445 nucleotides) under uncultured bacterium. Its description in RNAcentral is "partial 16S ribosomal RNA". It matches the Rfam family "Bacterial small subunit ribosomal RNA", at positions 354 to 796 of the family's 1533-position model. The record is from RNAcentral.
GUGAGGAAUAUUGGUCAAUGGGCGAGAGCCUGAACCAGCCAAAUCGCGUGAAGGAUGAAGGUAUUAUGUAUUGUAAACUUCUUUUAUCGGGGAAUAAAGUGCGGGACGUGUCCCGUUUUGUAUGUACCCGAAGAAUAAGGAUCGGCUAACUCCGUGCCAGCAGCCGCGGUAAUACGGAGGAUCCAAGCGUUAUCCGGAUUUAUUGGGUUUAAAGGGUGCGUAGGCGGACUGUCAAGUCAGCGGUGAAAGUCCAUGGCUCAACCAUGGAAUUGCCGUUGAAACUGUCGGUCUUGAGUGUAGAUGAGGUAGGCGGAAUUCGUAGUGUAGCGGUGAAAUGCUUAGAUAUUACGAAGAACUCCAAUUGCGUAGGCAGCUUACCAGGCUACAACUGACGCUGAGGCACGAAGGUGCGGGGAUCAAACAGGAUUAGAUACCCCAGUAGUCC